GACGAACGCUGGCGGCGUGCUUAACACAUGCAAGUCGUACGGUAAGGCCCUUUCGGGGGUACACGAGUGGCGAACGGGUGAGUAACACGUGAGUAACCUGCCCACAACUUUGGGAUAACGCUAGGAAACUAGUGCUAAUACUGGAUAUGUGCUCCUGCUGCAUGGUGGGGGUUGGAAAGCUCCGGCGGUUGUGGAUGGACUCGCGGCCUAUCAGCUUGUUGGUGGGGUAGUGGCCUACCAAGGCGGCGACGGGUAGCCGGCCUGAGAGGGUGACCGGCCACAUUGGGACUGAGAUACGGCCCAGACUCCUACGGGAGGCAGCAGUGGGGAAUAUUGCACAAUGGGCGCAAGCCUGAUGCAGCAACGCCGCGUGCGGGAUGACGGCCUUCGGGUUGUAAACCGCUUUCAGCAGGGACGAAGCUCUUUGUGACGGUACCUGCAGAAGAAGCACCGGCUAACUACGUG
This 465-nucleotide ribosomal RNA is filed under the name uncultured bacterium. Its description in RNAcentral is "partial 16S ribosomal RNA". It matches the Rfam family "Bacterial small subunit ribosomal RNA", at positions 28 to 507 of the family's 1533-position model. The record is from RNAcentral.